This 468-nucleotide ribosomal RNA is filed under the name uncultured archaeon. Its description in RNAcentral is "bacterial SSU rRNA". It matches the Rfam family "Archaeal small subunit ribosomal RNA", at positions 1 to 471 of the family's 1478-position model. The record is from RNAcentral.
UUCCGGUUGAUCCUGCCGGAGGCCAUUGCUAUCGGAGUCCGAUUUAGCCAUGCUAGUCGCACGGGUUUAGACCCGUGGCAGAUAGCUCAGUAACACGUGGCCGAACUACCCUACAGACCACAAUAACCUCGGGAAACUGAGGCUAAUGGUGGAUAUCGCAUUCACGCUUGAAUGCCGAAUGCGAGAAAUGCCCCGGCGCUGUAGGAUGUGGCUGCGGCCGAUUAGGUAGACGGUGGGGUAACGGCCCACCGUGCCAGUAAUCGGUACGGGUGGUGACAGCCAGAGCCCGGAGACGGUAUCUGAGACAAGAUACCGGGCCCUACGGGGCGCAGCAGGCGCGAAACCUUUACACUGCACGACAGUGCGAUAGGGGGACUCCGAGUGUGAGGGCAUAUAGCCCUCGCUUUUCUGCACCGUAAGGUGGUACAGGAAUAAGGACUGGGCAAGACCGGUGCCAGCCGCCGCGGU